This 180-nucleotide ribosomal RNA is filed under the name uncultured Glomeromycotina. Its description in RNAcentral is "partial small subunit ribosomal RNA". The record is from RNAcentral. Lineage: Eukaryota; Fungi; Glomeromycota.
GACCUGGCUGGGUGGUCCGCCUAACGGCGUGUACUGUCCGGCUGGGCCUUACCUCUUGGUGAGCCGGCGUGCCCUUCACUGGGUGCGUCGGGGAACCAGGAUCUUUACCUUGAGAAAAUUAGAGUGUUCAAAGCAGGCCUAUGCCCGAAUACAUUAGCAUGGAAUAAUAAAAUAGGACUU